UGCCGUGCAAACGGAGGAAGUGGGGAUGACGUCAAAUCAUCAUGCCCCUUAUGUUCUGGGCUACACACGUGCUACAAUGCCGGUACAGACGGACGCAAAGCCGCGAGGUGGAGCAAAUCCUAAAAAGCCGGUCUCAGUUCGGAUUGCAGGCUGCAAUUCGCCUGCAUGAAGUCGGAAUCGCUAGUAAUCGCAGGUCAGCAUACUGCGGUGAAUACGUUCCCGGGCCUU
This 228-nucleotide ribosomal RNA is filed under the name uncultured Bacillus sp. RNAcentral's name for it is "partial 16S ribosomal RNA". It matches the Rfam family "Bacterial small subunit ribosomal RNA", at positions 1150 to 1382 of the family's 1533-position model. Lineage: Bacteria; Bacillati; Bacillota; Bacilli; Caryophanales; Bacillaceae. The record is from RNAcentral.